GGAGAGAUGCCGGAGUGGUCGAUCGGGCCGCACUCGAAAUGCGGUGUACGGGCAACUGUACCGGGGGUUCGAAUCCCUCUCUCUCCGCCA
Molecule: transfer RNA, 90 nt
Filed under: Alistipes putredinis
Lineage: Bacteria; Pseudomonadati; Bacteroidota; Bacteroidia; Bacteroidales; Rikenellaceae
Also listed under: 8 other names
Description: tRNA-Ser
Rfam family: tRNA
About the family: Transfer RNA (tRNA) molecules are approximately 80 nucleotides in length. Their secondary structure includes four short double-helical elements and three loops (D, anti-codon, and T loops). Further hydrogen bonds mediate the characteristic L-shaped molecular structure. tRNAs have two regions of fundamental functional importance: the anti-codon, which is responsible for specific mRNA codon recognition, and the 3' end, to which the tRNAs corresponding amino acid is attached (by aminoacyl-tRNA synthetases). tRNAs cope with the degeneracy of the genetic code in two manners: having more than one tRNA (with a specific anti-codon) for a particular amino acid; and 'wobble' base-pairing, i.e. permitting non-standard base-pairing at the 3rd anti-codon position.
Source: RNAcentral